CCAGCUUUGAGUAUGGCUUCUGGACUUGGCCCAUAGAGGGUGAAAGGCCCGUUCGAAUGGAGGAUAAGAUAAGUGAGCAGUUCACCAUGUCGGUCUUCGAGUCGGGUUGUUUGAGAAUGCAGCCCAAAGCGGGUGGUAAACUCCAUCCAAGGCUAAAUACUAGCACGAGUCCGAUAGCGAACAAGUACCGUGAGGGAAAGUUGAAAAGUACUUUGAAGAGAGAGUAAACAGUACGUGAAACCGCAUAGAGGUAAACGGGUGGCGUCAAGCUGCAAGCCUAGAGGAUUCAGUCGGUCAGGAUUUUAUUUAUGCGCCUGGCGCAUUUAUCAGUCAGAGUAAGAUAUGGUAGUCCACUGGGCAACAGUGGGCCUGGCCGUAAGGUCGGGAUUUGCGUUCCGUUUUUGUGUCGCGGAGCUUGCUACCUAUCUAGGGACUGUCUGGCCGAUGCACUUUCUCUAUGGUGAACACCACGACCGGUGGUACUGCCAGUCUGCUGUAACCAAGUCGGGGUCGGUCGGCAUCUGAUGUCGGUUGGUCUUCGAUCAUAGGCAAAUUCAGUGGACGGUGUUCGGGUGUUUACGCAUUCGUUCAUGUUAUCGGACACUGGUUGUCAACGGGUCUGUCUGUCGACGAUUGUAGUAGUUGGCGGAUGGCCUGGUGGGUUAUGGUGGUAAGAAUAACUGUGCAGGGCACUGGUGAUUGCGGUCUCUAAUUUGGCUCGCACGCACACUGCAAGUGGGUGGGGCGUCGUUGCAGUCUGCCUAUGAUUGGGUUCGAUUGUCGUGUUGCCUACGCAAAGUGGGUCCGGCAGUAGCCUGAUUUUGGAUGGAAUUGUUUACGGCGUCCCUUGUGUGAGUCGAU
This 861-nucleotide ribosomal RNA is filed under the name Triaenophorus nodulosus. RNAcentral describes it as "eukaryotic LSU rRNA". It matches the Rfam family "Eukaryotic large subunit ribosomal RNA", at positions 171 to 606 of the family's 3401-position model. The record is from RNAcentral. Lineage: Eukaryota; Metazoa; Platyhelminthes; Cestoda; Bothriocephalidea; Triaenophoridae.